GAUGAACGCUGGCGGCAUGCCUAACACAUGCAAGUCGAUCGGUAAGGCUCUUCGGAGUACACGAGAGGCGGACGGCUGAGUAACGCGUAGGAACACACCCUGCAGUGAGGGAUAAGACACUGAAAGGAGUUCUAAUACCGCAUACGGUCUUCGGAUUAAAGCAGUUUUGCGCUUAAGGGGUGACCUGGGUCAUAUUAGAAAGUUGGUGAGGUAAUGGUUCACCAAGUGGAUGAUGUGUAGCUGAUCUGAGAGGAUGAUCAGCCAGACUGGAAAUGCGACACGGUCCAGACUCGUACGGGAGGCAGCAGUGAGGAAUAUUUCACAAGGAGCCAAAGCUUGAUGGAGCAAUGCAGCAGGCAGGGUGAAGGACCUCGGGUUGUAAACUGCUUUGAUAAGAGAAGAUUAUGACGAUAACUUAUGAAUAAGGGACGGCUAACUACGUG
This 443-nucleotide ribosomal RNA is filed under the name uncultured bacterium. Its description in RNAcentral is "partial 16S ribosomal RNA". It matches the Rfam family "Bacterial small subunit ribosomal RNA", at positions 28 to 507 of the family's 1533-position model. The record is from RNAcentral.